Molecule: ribosomal RNA, 55 nt
Filed under: Ichthyophonus hoferi
Lineage: Eukaryota; Ichthyosporea; Ichthyophonida; Ichthyophonidae
Description: partial 28S ribosomal RNA
Source: RNAcentral
GACCUCAACUCGGGCAAGGCUACCCGCUGAAUUUAAGCAUAUCAAUAAGCGGAGG